GGGGAUGUAGCUCAGUUGGUAGAGUGCUUGCCUCACAUGCAUAAGGCCCUGGGUUCAACCCCCAGCACCACCA
RNAcentral lists this transfer RNA (73 nucleotides) under Marmota monax (woodchuck). It matches the Rfam family "tRNA". Rfam says of the family: Transfer RNA (tRNA) molecules are approximately 80 nucleotides in length. Their secondary structure includes four short double-helical elements and three loops (D, anti-codon, and T loops). The record is from Rfam by way of RNAcentral. Lineage: Eukaryota; Metazoa; Chordata; Mammalia; Rodentia; Sciuridae. RNAcentral also lists the same sequence under 1 other name.